RNAcentral lists this ribosomal RNA (460 nucleotides) under uncultured bacterium. Its description in RNAcentral is "partial 16S ribosomal RNA". It matches the Rfam family "Bacterial small subunit ribosomal RNA", at positions 338 to 795 of the family's 1533-position model. The record is from RNAcentral.
CCUACGGGAGGCAGCAGUGAGGAAUAUUGGGCAAUGGACGAGACUCUGAACCAGCCAAGCAGCGUGAAGGAUGACUGCCCUAUGGGUUGUAAACUUCUUUUAUAUGGGAAUAAAAUGUUCCACGUGUGGGAUUUUGUAUGUACCAUAUGAAUAAGGAUCGGCUAACUCGGUGCCAGCAGCCGCGGUAAUACUGAGGAUCCGAGCGUUAUCCGGAUUUAUUGGGUUUAAGGGGAGCGUAGGUGGAUUGUUAAGUCAGUUGUGAACGUUUGCGGCUCAACCGUAAAAUUGCAGUUGAAACUGGAAGACUUGAGUACAGUAGAGGUGAGCGGAAUUCGUGGUGUAGCGGUGAAAUGCUUAGAUAUCACGAAGAACUCCGAUGGCGAAGGCAGUUCACUGGACUGCAACUGACACUGAGGCUCGAAAGUGUGGGUAUCAAACAGGAUUAGAUACCCUUGUAGUC